AGCACGGGAGCAAUCCUGGUGGCGAGUGGCGAACGGGUGAGUAAUGUAUCGGAACGUACCUUUCAGUGGGGGAUAACGUAGCGAAAGUUACGCUAAUACCGCAUAUUCUGUGAGCAGGAAAGCAGGGGAUCGCAAGACCUUGCGCUGAUUGAGCGGCCGAUAUCAGAUUAGCUAGUUGGUGAGGUAAAGGCUCACCAAGGCGACGAUCUGUAGCGGGUCUGAGAGGAUGAUCCGCCACACUGGAACUGAGACACGGUCCAGACUCCUACGGGAGGCAGCAGUGGGGAAUUUUGGACAAUGGGGGCAACCCUGAUCCAGCCAUGCCGCGUGAGUGAAGAAGGCCUUCGGGUUGUAAAGCUCUUUCAGCCGGGAAGAAAUCACAUGGGUUAAUACCCUGUGUGGAUGACGGUACCGGAAUAAGAAGCACCGGCUAACUACGUGCCAGCAGCCGCGGUAAUACGUAGGGUGCGAGCGUUAAUCGGAAUUACUGGGCGUAAAGCGUGCGCAGGCGGUUUGUUAAGAUAGGCGUGAAAUCCCCGGGCUCAACCUGGGAACUGCGUUUAUGACUGGCAGGCUAGAGUAUGGCAGAGGGGGGUGGAAUUCCACGUGUAGCAGUGAAAUGCGUAGAGAUGUGGAGGAACACCGAUGGCGAAGGCAGCCCCCUGGGCCAAUACUGACGCUCAUGCACGAAAGCGUGGGUAGCAAACAGGAUUAGAUACCCUGGUAGUCCACGCCCUAAACGAUGUCAACUAGGUGUUGGGUGGGUAAAACCAUUUAGUACCGG
RNAcentral lists this ribosomal RNA (784 nucleotides) under uncultured bacterium. Its description in RNAcentral is "bacterial SSU rRNA". It matches the Rfam family "Bacterial small subunit ribosomal RNA", at positions 71 to 849 of the family's 1533-position model. The record is from RNAcentral.